GGAAGUAAAAGUCGUAACAAGGUUUCCGUAGGUGAACCUGCGGAAGGAUCAUUAUUGAAUGAACUUGGAGUCGGUUGUCGCUGGCUGUCUUAUUUGGCAGCAUGUGCACGCCUUCUCUUUUCAUCCACACACACCCCUGUGCACUUGUGAGACUGGAGACCGGUAAAAAUAAAAUAAAAGUCUUCAGUCUGCUAAAUCCAUAUACAAACCCAUUUAAUUGAACUGAAUGUAAAUUGAUGUAACGCAUCUUUAAACUAAGUUUCAACAACGGAUCUCUUGGCUCUCGCAUCGAUGAAGAACGCAGCGAAAUGCGAUAAGUAAUGUGAAUUGCAGAAUUCAGUGAAUCAUCGAAUCUUUGAACGCACCUUGCGCUCCUUGGUAUUCCUUGGAGCAUGCCUGUUUGAGUAUCAUGAAAUUCUCAAAGUAAACCUUUUGUUAAUUCAACUGGUCUUUGCUUUGGAUUUGGAGGCCUUUGCAGAUGUCACAGACUGCUCCUCUUAAAUAAAUUAGCUGGAUCUCAGUAUACACUUGGUUCCACUCGGCGUGAUAAGUAUCACUCGCUGAGGACACUGUUAAAAAGGUGGCCAGGCAAUGCAGAUGAACCGCUUCUAAUAGUCCAUUGACCUGGACAAAAUUAAAAACUUAUGAUCUGAUCUCAAAUCAGGUAGGACUACCCGCUGAACUUAAGCAUAUCAAUAAGCGGAGGA
This 707-nucleotide ribosomal RNA is filed under the name Rhizoctonia solani. Its description in RNAcentral is "eukaryotic LSU rRNA". The stretch from base 257 to 410 matches the Rfam family "5.8S ribosomal RNA". Lineage: Eukaryota; Fungi; Basidiomycota; Agaricomycetes; Cantharellales; Ceratobasidiaceae. The record is from RNAcentral.